Artibeus jamaicensis (Jamaican fruit-eating bat) is the source of this 4211-nucleotide long non-coding RNA. RefSeq lists it as uncharacterized. The record is from RefSeq and is a predicted model, not a curated record. The transcript is spliced from 5 exons. Lineage: Eukaryota; Metazoa; Chordata; Mammalia; Chiroptera; Phyllostomidae.
AUAGCUCGUGUCUCACUCCGAUCACAGGGCUGGGGCAGGAAAGAGGGACACACGAAGGCUGAAGUCACUCCACCACCACUGCUGCCGUUUCAGGCAGGACCACGGGCAAACCUUCCAGGCGUGUUCAGUGUAGGCAUGCAGCAGGGAACCCGGCAAAGGCUCGCCCCCACUUCGCAUUUAACGUAGAAAUCGGACGGCGCCACUAUUCCCAGUUAAAGCAGUAUUCGCUCCUCCCCCACGUAGUAUUGAUUCCUCUGGCUGAACUGCAAGGGAGAGCACGCACGUGAUCCCAGGAUACAGUCAGUCCCCCUGGGGAGCUCCAGAACGUCCGCCUCGCUACUGUUCCUUUUCUCCAUCCUGCUGGGCCUCCUUUGCUGUCAGCGGCACGUCCGCUUGGUUCAGGUGGAGUUGCUCUGACCCACACUGGGGAAGGAGAAGCCCUGGCCAGGACCCCAGAACUUUCACUCUUUCUUUGCUCCCUGCCAGCUGUAGCAUUCACAGAAUCCCCCUCCUCCCGCCUAGUUCUGGCAGCCAGCCACAGCCUCGACAUGCAAUGCUAAAAGAAACUUCCGUGCUUCCUGCGUGGACCAGCACCUGGGCAAUGAGCUCAGACCCUGAGCUGAAUCUGCACGGAGGCUCACGAAGGGGUCUGUGUGGACUGGGGCUGCUGGGCUCCUUUCCAUCACUGUACCUGAGGCCCACAGUGUUCUUCCUGCUCCUGCCAUGGCCAGCAUGUGACUGAGGACCCAGCUCAAGUUCAUCUCUCCUUUGGCAGGUCUUUCCCGCUCUGCCCCCUCCACCACCACAUGUUCACCAGAGUGGGGAGGGUCCCUCCACACUGCCCACAGGUCUCAAAGCGCUCAGCCCCUGGCUCCAGCAUAUGUGUCUGUUCAUGUCUCUCUCCUCCCUCCCCUGGGCUGUGAGAUCCUUGCCUCCUUCGGGUCUAAAACAGUGCACUUAGUAGGCCCUCAAGACAGACUGUGUGAAUCAAGGAUGUACUACAGUGCAGAACAUUGCAGAGCAUGUGGGGAAAGCCUGAGUCACACUCUUGAGGUACCUUAAGGGUUGAUGAAGCACAGGUCUUCCUUAGACGCUGCGCCGGCAUUUGGAGCAGGCCUGGCUGCUUCCCUCCGACUCUGAGAGGGUGGGAGACAGAGACCAGCCAGGUGAAUCCAGAUGAGACAAAAAGGCCCCUGGUGGAAGGAAUUCAAAAGCAGAGGAUGAGAAGGGAGAGCAACACUUGUUAACUUGGUGCCACGUACCAGACCUGCAGGUCAGGGCUCAGCAGCCUUUUCUCUGUAAAGGGCCAGACGGUGAGUGUUUGGGCUUCAUGGGCCAUCUGGGCUCCGUGGCCCGAGGACAGCCACAGGGGAUAUGUAACUAACACACGUGUAAAUAUGCAUUGCUGUGCCUGGACUCAACUGCACUUACAGACACUGACAUUUGCACGUCACACCGUUUUCAUGGUUCGUGAGUCAUUACUCUUCUUUUUAUUUUCUCAGACACUUAAAAAUGUAAAAACACUUGUUGGCUUGAGAGCCAUACAAAACCAAGCAGCAGGCCGGAUACCCCCGGGGGCGGUAGUCAGACAGAGAGGGCUCAGGUUCCCCAACCCUGCCAGCACCUCUGACACUCGGGAGGAAGGCGAAGCUCCGGAGGACCCGUGACCGGCCCAAGAGAUGGGCUGGUGGAGAGCGGAGGUGGGAUUUUGAGCCUCUGCUUCGCCCAUUCCCUCCGUGGUGCCCUCGGACUUGGGUGCUCGGCUCCCUCUGCCUUGUGUGCGGAUGUGAGAUCCGUCCUUACGGGGCAGGAGAAGCUUUUCAUAGUGGAGGCAAGAGCAUGCCCUGGGGAAAGAAGGGGUGGGGAAAGGCACAGGCGUGCUCCUUAGAGGGAGCUUCCUGUGACGGCAUUUUUAGAACUCAGACCCUGUGGGAAGCAGCCUCAGUCAGCCAACAUUCAGACACAUCGCUUCAGGAAGCAGCGGGACACGAGGCAGGCACCACAGUCCCGGCUCUAAAUGCAACAGGGGGCAAUGGUUCUGUCUAAAUAAACCCUCUCUGAGCUUCAUGGCAGUGGCGGUAAGACCCACCACCCCCAGAUUUGUACUAGGCAAGAAGAAGGCUGGGAAGUCCACAUGGCAGGCAGCCCUCGUUGGAUGACCCAGAAAGGUGGCUUGGUCUCAAGGACGUUGGGAUCAAAGGACAUUGGGCAAGUGGCAACAAAUGUGCAUGCUUGAAAGAUACAACUGAGGCUUCCUGGAGGGUGUGAUCUGGGACUGGAAGAGUUCCCAGAAGGGCCAUCUGACUCGCAUGUCACUCUUCCCCACAUCAGACCUCAGUUCAGCCUCUGCCUCAGACCUCCAGACACAAGGUCAGCUGAGCCAGCUGUGGGGCUGGGGCCUGGCGUCUGGCCCUUCCUCUCUGGUGCACACUGGAGACUCGGGAGUGCCCGGAGCCCAAGACGCUGCUCCCAGACUUGCAGCAAAACCGCAGCUGUGGCUGCCAGUGCUCAGGUCGGAGCUUGUUUUGGCUUCACCGGAAAGGAGAACACCCCCGCCUUGUGCAAUGGGUGCAGUCUGUCUUGGGGGCUGUGGCAGAGCCAAGCCUGAGGGCGGGUGACUGGGACCCGGGCUCUUGUCUAUUUAUUUUGUACCCUUUUAACAUGAUGGUUACAAAAGCAAAUACUCUCCAAGUACAAAGUUUAGAAAAUACAGAGUAGACAAAAGAAGAGAAAAAGGAAAACCUGUCUGCUAGGGUAAGUUUGUUUUAUUCUUCCUUCCAGUCUUUUUUCUGUGUGCACACGUGUGUGUGCAUGUGUUCCUUACCCAAAUGGGCCCACAUGGAUUCUGCUCGGGGAAUCUGUUUCUUCUUCAUUUCACACAGCAGGGUGAGCUCAUUCCCAUGUCAAAAUGCAUGUUUCUUUGCCAUCAUUUUUGCCCAUAAUCUGUUUCUGGCAAGUUCUCUUUCAAAGGUGUUCAGUCCUUGCAUUGUAGCUGCAGCUUCCACCUGGAUCACAAAACCCAGCUCUUCUCAGCUUCUGGAACAACAGCUGGCCUUCGUCGAUAUGGUUUGAAGAGGUCCUACCGUGAGGUUUGGAAGCCAAAGAGCUGCUGUAUGAAGGCUUCAGACGGCAGGCACAUUAUGCAAUAUGAACAGCAGAAUCCCUCUCUCAGAGGCUAGACCGUUUGCCUUCCACGUCUUGUAGAAAUAGUUACAGCAACAGCAACAGUGGCAACAUCACUAUCAUGUUAUGUGUUCGCUAUAUGCCAGGCAAUGGGCCAAAUGUUUCCCUUGCUUCAUCGUAUUCAGUCUUAGUUACACAGUUCUUCAGAGUGAAGUCCAGCUAUUGUUAUCCUGGUUUUACAGAUGAAGAUGCUGAAACUCAGAGGUUAAGCAGUUUGCUCAAGGUCCCCCAGCGAAUGACCUGCAGGGCUACCAUUGGACACAGGGCUGUGAGACCUGAGUUUGUUCUCCUAAGCACCCGCCCCCUUGAAUGCCUUGGUUGGACAAGGCAUCCCCCCUCCAUAGUUUCAGCUUUGUCCUAUGUGCAAAGGUUCCCCGAGACUUCACAAUCCUAUUGGUUUCAGCAUCUACAUGCCAGGUCCUGUCCUUGCCAAGCGUGCACCUCGAAGGUGUCCGUUUUGGUCCAUAAGCUAGAUGUUUAGAACUUCUUUGCUGAGAUAAGGGGUCCAGAUCCUGUGGUCCUCGGAUGCACUCAUCCUUCUCAUGGCAUCACAGAAGUGUGUUUUACUGCUAUACCUCCUGCAAGGCGACCCCACCUCUGCCACUUAAAAUGUGUGACUUUGGACAAGUCUCUGAUUCUGUCUUCAUCUAUAAAACAGGGAUAAUACUCUCCACUUUAUCAGGUGACUUUUAAGAAUUAAAGAGAAAGUACUGUCACAUAGUAGAUACUUAAUAAAUAUUAGCUAUGGUUAUAAUGACUGAAAGAGUAGGGUCCCAAGUCAGAUGGCCUGGGUUUGAUUCUACCUCGUCUACUUAACCGGUAACUUGACCUCGGCUUGUUUACUUUGAUCACUCUUUGCCUCAGUUUCUUCCUCUGCAAAAUGAAGAUAAUAAUAAGAUUGUUGCAAGGAGUAAAUGAAUGCAUUCUUAUGUAUCAGAGCAACAAUAAGUAUCUUAGUAAAUACUGACAGAGUAAAGGCUUGAUAUAUGCUAAUUUUAUUACUAAUUAUAAUUACUUCACUAUUAGCA